This is a non-coding RNA of Tirmania nivea, 103 nucleotides long. The record is from the annotation of a GenBank genome assembly. NCBI's taxonomy places the organism in Eukaryota, Fungi, Ascomycota, Pezizomycetes, Pezizales, Pezizaceae.
GGCAAGAUGGCCGAGUUGGUUAUGGCGCCAGGUUAAGGAACUUAUCCUUAGCAUGUAUAUCCUGGUAGGGAAACCUGCGUGGGUUCAAGUCCCACUCUUGUCA